RNAcentral lists this ribosomal RNA (771 nucleotides) under Escherichia coli. RNAcentral describes it as "partial 23S ribosomal RNA". It matches the Rfam family "Bacterial large subunit ribosomal RNA", at positions 418 to 1191 of the family's 2925-position model. Lineage: Bacteria; Pseudomonadati; Pseudomonadota; Gammaproteobacteria; Enterobacterales; Enterobacteriaceae. The record is from RNAcentral. RNAcentral also lists the same sequence under 6 other names.
CGGGACACGUGGUAUCCUGUCUGAAUAUGGGGGGACCAUCCUCCAAGGCUAAAUACUCCUGACUGACCGAUAGUGAACCAGUACCGUGAGGGAAAGGCGAAAAGAACCCCGGCGAGGGGAGUGAAAAAGAACCUGAAACCGUGUACGUACAAGCAGUGGGAGCCUCUUAAUGGGGUGACUGCGUACCUUUUGUAUAAUGGGUCAGCGACUUAUAUUCUGUAGCAAGGUUAACCGAAUAGGGGAGCCGAAGGGAAACCGAGUCUUAACUGGGCGUUAAGUUGCAGGGUAUAGACCCGAAACCCGGUGAUCUAGCCAUGGGCAGGUUGAAGGUUGGGUAACACUAACUGGAGGACCGAACCGACUAAUGUUGAAAAAUUAGCGGAUGACUUGUGGCUGGGGGUGAAAGGCCAAUCAAACCGGGAGAUAGCUGGUUCUCCCCGAAAGCUAUUUAGGUAGCGCCUCGUGAAUUCAUCUCCGGGGGUAGAGCACUGUUUCGGCAAGGGGGUCAUCCCGACUUACCAACCCGAUGCAAACUGCGAAUACCGGAGAAUGUUAUCACGGGAGACACACGGCGGGUGCUAACGUCCGUCGUGAAGAGGGAAACAACCCAGACCGCCAGCUAAGGUCCCAAAGUCAUGGUUAAGUGGGAAACGAUGUGGGAAGGCCCAGACAGCCAGGAUGUUGGCUUAGAAGCAGCCAUCAUUUAAAGAAAGCGUAAUAGCUCACUGGUCGAGUCGGCCUGCGCGGAAGAUGUAACGGGGCUAAACCAUG